Molecule: ribosomal RNA, 253 nt
Filed under: uncultured bacterium
Lineage: Bacteria
Description: partial 16S ribosomal RNA
Rfam family: Bacterial small subunit ribosomal RNA
Source: RNAcentral
UACGUAGGGGGCAAGCGUUGUUCGGAAUUACUGGGCGUAAAGGGCGCGUAGGCGGCAGGCCAAGUCGGGAGUGAAAGCCCGGGGCUCAACCCCGGAAUGUCUUUCGAAACUGGCCAGCUGGAGUGCGGAAGAGGCAACUGGAAUUCCCAGUGUAGCGGUGAAAUGCGUAGAUAUUGGGAAGAACACCCGUGGCGAAGGCGGCUCUCUGGGACGGUACUGACGCUGAGACGCGAAAGCGUGGGGAGCGAACAGG